Molecule: long non-coding RNA, 732 nt
Organism: Oncorhynchus tshawytscha (Chinook salmon)
Lineage: Eukaryota; Metazoa; Chordata; Actinopteri; Salmoniformes; Salmonidae
Source: Ensembl
AAAACCAAAACUAUUGUUACUAACCCCUUGUAGAGAACCAACAUGAUCAAAAUCAAAUCACUUCAUUGGUGUGACCCUGCAAAGCACAAGGUGCCCUGAACAAAUUCAACUUGAUUGCUGAUGGGGUGGAUAAGAUAGCCCCAGCUGUUGUACACCUAAAGCUUUUCAAAAGGUUCCCAUUUUCAUACCAGGAGGUCCCUGUGUCAAGUGGUUCAGAGUUCAUUGUGUCAGUGGACUGCUGGAUAGUCACCAAAGCCCAUGUCCUAUCCUACAAGCAGAGAAUCAAAGUGGAGCUGAAGAGCUGUUUUCAAUAAGAUGCCUCCAACAAGGAAAUGGAAUCAAAAUUGAGUCGAAUAGUCCACUGCCAGUCCUGCUGGGCCACUCGUCUGAAGGCAUCAGCAGGGCCCAUUGGAACGGCCUGGAACUGGGAUUCAAAGACUCACAUGGAGUACAUCCAGACGGACGUCAUCAUUAAUGGUGACCACUUGUUGGGGGAUUUACUGCUUUAGAUUGUAUUUGUGAGGAUGGGGAUGUCAUCGGAAUAAAUACUCUGGUCAGAGCAGGAAUAUCCUUUGCAAUUCCUGCAGACAGAGUACGUCAGUUCCUUACCGAUUCAUGCGACAGAACAAUCAAGGUUUGAUCCCAGAUCUGAGGGAGCGGCAGAGUGACUUCCCAGACGUGAGCUCAGGAGUGUACGUUUUAUGAAGUGAUCCCAGGAACAGCUACCUCCAG